GCUGGGAAGUUCUUCCAGCUUCCCAGCCAUGGCUGAAGUACAGGAUUUGAUAAGCUAAACCUGUAUGUAUCCCUUGGUUAUAUGUAUGGAAGGGCUCGAGGAACACUAUAAUUAGUAUAUCACAACAUACUUACUUUUCUACCUAAUGCAAUGACAUUUCUUCCCCUGCCUUAGUAAUUAAUUAAUGUUUGGAAAAUAUUUAAGAAAUGUAAAGCUCCCAGUAAGAGGUAAAUGCUAUUAAUUGUAAUUGCCAAGUAGAUUAUUUCUCAGCUUUCACAUGGUUCUGUUCCCUCUGGUUAAACACCGAGGGAUGUUUCCCUUCAGGGUAGCUCCAUAACUCCUGUUCUCAUUGCAUGGCUGAGAUAAUACAGUUUGUGCUUGUUUUGUCAGCAGGAGGGGGAGACAACUACAGUGCUAGAAGUUUUCCAAGGGUUGCUCAGGUGUCUUUUAAUUAUGGUGAGGUAAAAAUAUCUUGUCUGCAAAACAGUCCAGAUUGCUGAAUUAAUAUCCCAGCUGGGUCUCUAACCUGAGUGAUCACCUCACCUGCAUUUCUGCAGAUUGCAGACUUGUGCAGAGAGUGGUUCAGCUUGGCUAUCCCCAAAAUGAUUUCUCACCUUCAUUUUCCUGUGCUCCAUCCCCUGUACAUGAACCCCUGACACUGUGGCUCAUGUUGUGCUGCAUUAAUGGCUUCAGAGGACUGAACAUGGCAGUAAAAUGGCUCUGUUCAUACCUGCCAGGUAUGAGCUGUAUUAAACAGUGCAUGUGAUGCAUUUUUAGCCAGUGAUCAAAGGGAUUGGGGAAGACAUACCCCAGGGAUCUUAUUUAAUUGCUGUUAAAAGGAUUUUAAUAGACAAAUGAAGGAUUGUUGAGAGGACAGCAUGGUGGGGGAACUGCUCUCACUUGUGGAUAUUCUGUCUGUUGCCUCAUUGCAUUGCAGAGAUGAGCUAAGAAACUCACCCCACUGGGCUGCUGCAGUGGAUGACACAAGCCCUUCAGGAAGGUCAGCCUGGGAGGUGGCAGCAGAAUUUGUCCUUUGUGUGAGAGAGCAGCAGGAAUGCCUGGAGCUCUGCCUUGAGGUGGAUGAUGAGCCAGGGGAGAGUUUCAGGUCAAGGCACGCUGUUAGGAAGUCUUCUGCCCACAGAUGAUUGCAUCAAGGCAGGGACAAUUCAAGGUGUAAAGCUCUGGGGACAGAGUUACUGUGGAGCUGGUACAUGGAAGCAGCUGCCAGUGCUCCUCCUUUGGCUGUCUCCAGGGAAAUGGGUGUAGGAAAUUCCUCCUUCUCAAUGAACUGCAUGGAAAUGGAGUUCUCCAGUGGAGUGCUCUUCACUUGGCAAGUUUUUUCUCUAGUGAUAUCCACUUAGUUCCUAACAAAAAUGUAUUCAGAAGAUUAGUGGCAGUACACUUGGAAGCUGGAACCACUCAGGACUAAUGAUAUAAUUACUCUCAAAAGCCAUUUGUAAAGCAAUUAUGUGCUAUUGUUCUCUUUUGUUCUGUAUCUUUAUAAAAGUGAGCCAUCUUGGCAGGCUGUGAUGGGCAUGUGUUGAGCUGGCUGUUAUGUAAGAAUACAAAUAAUUUGUGUGCAUAUUUAUAAAAGAAAAACAAUGCUUUUACAGUGUGACUGAUUUGUUUCGAUGUAAAAAUCUUUGUACAGGAACAUGUUUGCUGUUUCAAUUUCUGAUGUAGCUGGUGUUUUUCAAUACAUAGUCUUGUAAUUUCUGUAGAAAAUUUUGUGGGUUUAUUUAGCUGCUCUUCACAGCCCAGGCUGUUUCUAUGCAUGUGCAAUAUAGUGUGGGGAGUGCUGUGCUUGUUACCUGAUUAAAUGUUAAUUUAUUUAA
Cyanistes caeruleus (blue tit) is the source of this 1835-nucleotide non-coding RNA. The record is from RefSeq and is a predicted model, not a curated record. NCBI's taxonomy places the organism in Eukaryota, Metazoa, Chordata, Aves, Passeriformes, Paridae.